GACGAACGCUGGCGGCGUGCCUAAUACAUGCAAGUUGAGCGCUGAAGGUUGGUACUUGUACCGACUGGAUGAGCAGCGAACGGGUGAGUAACGCGUGGGGAAUCUGCCUUUGAGCGGGGGACAACAUUUGGAAACGAAUGCUAAUACCGCAUAAAAACUUUAAACACAAGUUUUAAGUUUGAAAGAUGCAAUUGCAUCACUCAAAGAUGAUCCCGCGUUGUAUUAGCUAGUUGGUGAGGUAAAGGCUCACCAAGGCGAUGAUACAUAGCCGACCUGAGAGGGUGAUCGGCCACAUUGGGACGGAGACACGGCCCAAACCCCUGCGGGAGGCAGCAGUAGGGAAUCUUCGGCAAUGGACGAAAGUCUGACCGAGCAACGCCGCGUGAGUGAAGAAGGUUUUCGGAUCGUAAAACUCUGUUGGUAGAGAAGAACGUUGGUGAGAGUGGAAAGCUCAUCAAGUGACGGUAACUACCCAGAAAGGGACGGCUAACUACGUG
RNAcentral lists this ribosomal RNA (497 nucleotides) under uncultured bacterium. Its description in RNAcentral is "partial 16S ribosomal RNA". It matches the Rfam family "Bacterial small subunit ribosomal RNA", at positions 28 to 507 of the family's 1533-position model. The record is from RNAcentral.